UUGCUGGCCGGACCCGGGCCGCGACGGGUGAGUAACACGUAUCCAACCUGCCGAUGACUCGGGGAUAGCCUUUCGAAAGAAAGAUUAAUACCCGAUGGCAUAGUUCUUCCGCAUGGUAGAACUAUUAAAGAAUUUCGGUCAUCGAUGGGGAUGCGUUCCAUUAGGUUGUUGGCGGGGUAACGGCCCACCAAGCCUUCGAUGGAUAGGGGUUCUGAGAGGAAGGUCCCCCACAUUGGAACUGAGACACGGUCCAA
RNAcentral lists this ribosomal RNA (254 nucleotides) under uncultured bacterium. RNAcentral's name for it is "partial 16S ribosomal RNA". It matches the Rfam family "Bacterial small subunit ribosomal RNA", at positions 102 to 334 of the family's 1533-position model. The record is from RNAcentral.